CAUGUAUUGCUGCAAAUGUGUACAGCCCUCAACAACCCACCAAGGCAAGGGCACAGCCUAAAGUCAUCUAACCCAGCAGCUCAUCAAAAGUCAUCUAACCCAUAGCUCCUCACUAUGGGGGAUGAGGAGAGUUCCCAGGUAAUUUCCCCUUGAUGGCUGGGGCAGGAUGGAUGCAACCAGUCCUCACCAAGCCUGCAAACCCCAGCACCUCCAUGAGCCUCUCAGCAGGACUGGAGAGGGACAAGAGCAGGCAGAGGGACCUACCCAGGGACCAAGUGGAGAGCCCGGCAUCUCUAGAGAACCAGCAACCUGAGCACCAGCCUCGAGCAAUCCAGGCACAUCCAGAAGAAAAGUCCUGCUAUGUCCAGUCCCUUUGCAGGAAACACACAAUGGGUGAUGGCUUCCACAUUCUCUCUUCUUCCACUGGCCACCCAAAAUAAGAGCAAUCUGACUAAUUACCACAGCUAAUUAGCAUCAGGAUGAAACAUCCAAUGUGGGCUGCAGACUCUUAGGAAAUAUAUUUUGCUGCCAUGAGACACAGAAGAAUUAUUUCCCAAGCAUCAUGUGCACAGCACAAUCAGCUAUGUGACUUUUCCUCUUUUUCCUCAUCAGUUCUUGGUUCUUGCAUGAUGAUGAUUUUUAAUGCCAAAGCAUUGUGCUUCAUCCCUCUUUAUUUCAGGCCACAGGCUCACCACAUUUUGGACUGGUUGCAACCCAUCUGGUUUCACUAAUACUUCUAAUAUAAUAUUUAUAACUAGCUAAGGGCUGAUCAUAUGACGGGUGUAAUCCAUAAGUCAUGUGCCAGUUGUGGUUAUUCUACACCUCAAGCCAUUUCUCUGUAUUUUUGUGUCCAUCGCCUGCUGGGGUAUUUCUAUGUUUUGUCACUGUUAUAGCUUUCCACCUUUGUAGCCUGGCAUUAAAGAAGGCUGUCUCAGUAA
Molecule: long non-coding RNA, 938 nt
Organism: Poecile atricapillus (Black-capped chickadee)
Lineage: Eukaryota; Metazoa; Chordata; Aves; Passeriformes; Paridae
Exons: 2
Source: RefSeq, a predicted model, not a curated record